AGGACUAACGCUGGCGGCGUGCCUAACACAUGCAAGUCGAACGAAGUAGCAAUACUUAGUGGCAGACGGGUGAGUAACACGUAGUCAACCUACCUCUUAAUGGGGGAUAACUAGCCGAAAGGUUAGCUAAUACCGCAUACGAUCGUCGAGUGGCAUCACUUGACGAUGAAAGGAGCAAUCCGUUGAGAGAGGGGACUGCGUCCCAUUAGUUAGUUGGCAGGGUAAUGGCCUACCAAGACUCCGAUGGGUAGCUGGCUUGAGAGAGCGACCAGCCACACUGGAACUGAGACACGGUCCAGACUCCUACGGGAGGCAGCAGUGAGGAAUUUUCCGCAAUGGGGGAACCCUGACGGAGCGACGCCGCGUGUGGGAAGAAGGCCUUCGGGUCGUAAACCACUGUCGAGGGGGACGAUAUUGACGGUACCCCGUGGAGGAAGCCCCGGCUAACGUACGCGCCAGCAGCCGC
Molecule: ribosomal RNA, 466 nt
Filed under: uncultured bacterium
Lineage: Bacteria
Description: SSU rRNA
Rfam family: Bacterial small subunit ribosomal RNA
Source: RNAcentral